This 341-nucleotide transfer-messenger RNA is filed under the name Candidatus Karelsulcia muelleri. RNAcentral's name for it is "Candidatus Sulcia muelleri tmRNA". It matches the Rfam family "transfer-messenger RNA". Rfam says of the family: Bacterial tmRNA, also known as 10Sa RNA or SsrA, is named for its dual tRNA and mRNA-like properties. Its role is to liberate the mRNA from a stalled ribosome. Lineage: Bacteria; Pseudomonadati; Bacteroidota; Flavobacteriia; Flavobacteriales. The record is from RNAcentral.
GGGGCUGUAUUGGAAUUGACAUCAUGAUUAAUAUAUAAGUAAGCAUAUCGUGUAUAUGUAAUGUAAUCACGUAUUAAAAUUUCAUUACAAAUAUAUAAACGGCAAAAAAAAUUACGCUCUUGCUGCUUGAUACUAUUUAAAAUAAGAGUUUUUUGAUUUUCUUACAGAAAAAUAGGAAAGAUUGAGGUUCUAAAUCUUUCUAAGAAAGUUAGAAGAACUAGAUUCUAAGUAAUAGAUUCUUAUCUCUAAACUUAGAAUUAAUUUUAAUUUGAUAAGAUAAAUAUGUAGAAAACUUAUAAUAUUACCUGUUUGGACACGGGUUCGAAUCCCGUCAGCUCCAC